This 2085-nucleotide long non-coding RNA is filed under the name Anolis carolinensis (green anole). RNAcentral's name for it is "lncRNA (ENSACAG00000044829.1)". Lineage: Eukaryota; Metazoa; Chordata; Lepidosauria; Squamata; Anolidae. The record is from RNAcentral.
UGUUAGUUGUGCAAUUGUUUAAUUUUAUGUAGCAUCGCUCAAAGUCAAAAGAGAACUGUGGAUCUUUGAGAGAAGUACUCAUUCCACACAAUUCCACUCAGUAGGUAUUCCUAUGAAAAAUCUAUAUAUUAAAGAUUUGUGCAUCUCAGAAGUUGUGAUUCUGCCUUGAAGAGGAAGUGAGCAUCCUCUAUAUAUCUUUAACUACUUUGGAGCAUUGCAAAUAAAGAUACAAGCUCUUGGCGUUUCUUUCAAAGGACAUUCUUCCAAUUUUAGCUCAGUUGACUAGGAGUUUUUGUUAGUUUGUGGACAGCUCUUAAAGAAAGUCAAUCACUACUAGUAGUCUAGGAAAAGAUAAAAGAGAAUUUAAUUAUUGUGGUAUUAUCUUCUUACUAUAUUGUUACCCAACUACUCUCUUAGCCCGUAUUUGGCUGUUCUGUACUUAGGUAUGAUAGCGACUAUUUUAAUCAUAUACUUCUUAGUAUUUUUUUUUUGCAUCACACAGUGAGAUACUGAAUGAACUCCUAUGAAAUAAUGUUUAGUAAGAAACAACAUUUUGGGAAAACAGUUGAUUCUCAUGUUGUGUUGUUUCUCUGUUUACAGUUUCAGGUAUUUUUGUUAAGGUAAAGUUGGAAGUGAGACUGGUGACUAUAGAAAUAUGUUUUUUAUGUCCUGUUUGUCAAUAAAUCUGUAUCUUCUAACCUGCAGAUCUGGCUGGCUUCCAUGCUAAAGGAUAAUGCAUGUUAGAAGAGAAAUGUACUGGAAUCACCUACUGGAAGGAGAAAUAUGUACCAGUCAGUGGUGUAGAACUCGUUUUACCAAUAUCAAAGCAUGAUGCUACAUAUAUAAAAACUGGUAACUGUCCACUUCUUUUUUAUUUUUAUUAAGGUUUUUUUAAAUUGAUAAGGUAAUAUGCCACACUCUGCGUGGGCAAAAGGAACGAGGAGGAAGGAAAGUAGGGGAGUGGGAGUAGGGGAUAUCCAUUUCUGAUGGUACUGUUUUGUAAAAUGAUUAUAACAUAGAGUAACAAAAACACAUACAGUAGAGUCUCAAUUAUCCAACACUCGCUUAUCCAACGUUCUGGAUUAUCCAACGCAUUUUUGUAGUCAAUGUUUUCAACAUAUCGUGAUAUUUUGGUGCUAAAUUCGUAAAUACAGUAAUUACUACAUAGCAUUAAUGCGUAUUGAACUACUUUUUUGGGUCAAAUUUGUUGUAUAACAUGAUGUUUUGGUGCUUAAUGUGUAAAAUCAUAACCUAAUUUGAUGUUUAAUAGGCUUCUCCUUAAUCUCUCCUUAUUAUCCAACAUAUUCGCUUAUCCAACAUUCUGCCGGCCCGUUUAUGUUGGAUAAGUGAGACUCUACUGUACUUAGAAAGUUAUGGAUCCUUGUUACUUGUCAUUAAUUUAGUGAUCAUGUUUUGUUAGUGUGGCCUGUGUGAUUCAGACUUCAUUUCUGCUGCCAUGACACUCAUCCAAAAUUCCCAAGAAAGGGGAUAUUAGUGAAAGGGUAGUAAUUUUUGAAUAGUUCUGGAUUCAGGGAGGUGCUCUUUAUCUCCUUAAUGAAGGACCCACUAAUGUCAAAACAGACUUCACAAGGAAGUAAUCUGAUCGCAACUGUCAUGCCACCUGUGACUGUUGUUGCUUUUGUCAUCCUCUUCACUUAUGCCUGACCCUUCUUGUUGAACAGAAGGAGGAAACUAUCAUGACUUUUUUUUUGGAAGAAUUGGUUCAGAGUGAAUUUACUCUUUGCUUUCUUUUGAUAUGGGGAUGUCCUGCUGCUGGAAGAGGGUGACUUGUUGAAGAUCACCCAAAAGGUUGCUGUGGCCAAGCAGGUAUUCAAUCCCUGGCAGAAGCAACACUGUGACCUACCUCCCCCUUUGCUCCUCCCAUCCUUUUUAGUAAGUUACAGUGUCACUGUAUUGCUACUGCAACACAAGGGGGAGGGGGCAUGAGGGAACAGCCAUCCUGUGUCUCCAAGCCGCCUGAACCCAGGGGGCAUAGGGUGGCUGUCAGGACAGCUACAGCCAGUUCUGCACGAAAACUGGCUGCUACUGUCUGAGCUGCCAUAACUCAAGCAAGGACCCAAAUCC